CUACUAUGUGCAGAGUGUACAAUGUGCUGUCGAAGAACCAGCAGCCUGUGUAGAGCGUUACCGCCAGAGAGGAAAGAAGAGAGGAGGGAACGCGCUUGUGCCUAGGAUCAGCACUUCUGAUUCAGUUGGAAUUGCCCCCACAGUUAAGAUGGGCUGCACAACGGGACAAUUUGCUUGCCAACCACAACCCCAGAUAAACUCUGGUCAGGAGAGUUUGUCUAUGGAGGCUGGUGGUGCUAAAGUACCCGAAGUUCUCUCCUCCCUGGAGCGUCUAUCUCAAGCUACUGGAGGCAUGGAGAAGUCGUGGUACCGCUGCAUCUUUCCCUUUGGCAUCAUCUCGUUGGUCAUAGGGAUUGCAGGAACAGGGGUGACCUACACUUACAAUGACCUGCCACAAACUAAAGUUGUAUCAGUGGUGCUACUUGUCAUGGGUGUUGUGCUACUGCUGAUGGCCAGUGCUUGCUGGACUCUCCACAAAAAGAAGAGAAGAAAAAAGAAAGAGGGAGAGUCUCUGACAUCUGAGCAGUGUCCCCUAUGAAGCAGAUAACGGAAAGCAAUUAGAAGAACCUAAAAACAGAGACUGGCCAAGAGUUUGUCUGUGCUCAAGGUAUAGCUGAAAACACCCUCACCUUACCUUCAACCAAUGCCAAAUCCCCUCUUUUAUUUAUCACAGAGUUAAGAGACAGCUCAGGUAAAGAAAUUAGAGUCAAAGGACAGACGUUGUUGUCUAGAGAAGGUUUUGGGAUCACAAUUUCUGAAACUCUCUUUGGUCAUCAGGCAUCAGGUACCUCUUGUCAAAACAACUAUGGCGGAGACACACAAAAGCACACAGUUUGUGUGUUUACAAGCACAGAGAGACCCUUUGAGCUUUAAUGUGUUGACACCCAACAUGCUCUGUAGGACUGCUGCUGGUGUCACUGCUGCCAUCACGGGGAACGUCAGUCGCAGCAUUCCUCUCAUAGGGACAGGUGACUCUCCAAGAGGUUAGAAGUGGGCCAAAGACUGCAACCUGAUACCCAGCUGAAAGAGCAGCAUGCCCGUGUCACCCGCCAACGUCAUUCGCUCGUCCUGUGACACUGCAGCAAUGUGUGAGGGGCUUUUUAUACGCAACAGAAGAGUGGAACUUGAGUCCGCCAGUAUCUUUGCUGGCAUAUGUGCCGAUGAUGACCUGGGGAGGACAGAGGACUGGUGAACUGGUCUCAGAUCAAUAUUUGGUUGAGAGAUUUCUUUAGAAAGUCCUGAGGAAAUGAAAAUUUGCACACAUGCCCAUCUCCAAGUCCAUGCUUUCAGCGGCCUUUAGUAGCUUUGGGUGGGGGCUGACAUUGACUUUCUGACUGACUGAUUGCCUUUCUGUCAAGUGCGGGUAUUUAUGCCCAGCUUUGUGUCUAUGAGGGAUAUUUAUUGAAGGACACUGCCUGGGGGAGGCAUACUACUGCAGGGGCACUUUGACUCAUCCUGCUCCUCCAUCGCCCCUCCCGCUUGGUGCCUUGAUGCACUAAUGGAAAAAAUCUCUGUUACAUUCCCCCAUUUCUGUUUGAACUUCAAAAAAAAAAAUCUAUUUCUUCUUUCACCCAGCAAAUAUCUCUCCCAUAGUUGAAGGGCAGUAACUUCGUCAGAGUAGAGUACAAAGCUGCACUGAGUAAUGUUUUGGUUCUGAUAAUCUCUGGGGUUUUCCUUUCCCACAUGCUUUCCUUCAGAGACAGACUGCUUGUGAAUAGGGGCAUUCGGUGAAUGCGUGUGAUGCACAAGGCUAUUUUAUUGGUGUCUUAAACACUUCUUUUCGUGACUGAUUGUUGUGUGAGCUAAAAUAAAACAUGAAAUCAAAGAAGGAAUGUGUAAUGUACACAUAGAUUAAGUGAAAGGAAUAUGCUCUGCUUGUCUCCACGUGAGUGACUCAACUAGCCCUGCAGGAGCUCUAAGAACUUUUAUUGAUCAAAACCACAUUGAUCCUGGCUUGGAGUUCAGUGAUGUUUGCCGGGGAGAGCGUGGCUAUACAUGCACGUUGAGCAGUUAGCUUACAAAGCCACAGACCAUCUUAAGCUUCAGCUUGUAAACUGGCUUUUGCCUUCCUGUCUGCUUUUGAGAACUGCCUGUUCUAAUGGUUUGGAGCUCAUUUGUGCAUUUACUGCUCAUGUUCCUUUUUGUAUUGAUGUUAGCCACACUGGUCGUUUAAACAGCAGCAACUGAGGAUUGAACAAUAGCGGUAAUGAGCAGCAGGAUCUUGGAAGUCGCUGCUUUUGAGAUUUAUGUGAGAACAGAGAGGAAUGCCUACAGCUAGAUUAGGAUCAGUCAUCCUGAAGAGAAUGUAAUUAUUUAAGAGGAAAUAUGUUGCAUCACUGGAGGUUACAGAGAUGAUUUCUGCUGUACUGCAGCGUAGCAGCUCACCUCUGAAUCUACUCUCACUGCCGCGAGAUGAGAUUUAACAAUUUCCAAAAAUAUUCUUACAGUAACCAUUAAUUUCUUUCACUUCAUAUGCCAAUUUGUUUUUUUUUUACAUUUGUGCUCAGAGCAGUGGUGUCCUUUAAACUCAGAGACAAAGCAGAAGCUCUGAAAUGACAUUACAUUGGACAACAUAACAAGCUGUCUGCCUCUGCAUUUUGUGUGUGAACUACUUUUACAUCUGCUCACUUUAUGGAAUCCCCUAAGAAAAACAUAAUUUUGCGAUCCUUUGUUGUCUUUUAUACAUAACUACUCAGUGUUUAAAUUAAAGUAAAUACUAAACAUAUGAUCUGGAAACCUCCUGCCUUAUACAAUGUUGAUUUUUUUUAAGCUGUUGACUUAAAGGAGCCGAAAGAAAGACUGAAAUCUUUGAUGGGUAAUUGUCUUGGGGGAUGUAGUGCUUGCAAAAAAUAUAAAUAAAUGAGGUACACAGUCUUAUAUUUCUGCCUUGGCUUGUAUAUCAUUGCAGUUUUUACAUGUACAACACACACCGACUAUAUUUUGUUUGGAUAGAUAUACCUAAAUUUACAUUUUUAAGCUGUAUUGUGCCAGUAUAAGUUGAUGGGUGUUGACCAGAUUUUCUUUUUGUCUGAAACAUAAAGUGAUUUCUUCUCUGCCUUCUGAAUUUUUAAAGGGAAAGUCUACCUCUUUCUGCUGCAGGGACUAAUGUCCCUCUCCUAGUAGACAGCUAAGCUGUCAGUCUGUUUGCUGUUUACUUCACUAAAUAUGUUGCUUACUGUGCCCUCCAAUUUUUGGUGCUGUCUGUUUUUUUAAUGUGUAUUCUGUAUUUCUAUCUUUAUGUUAAUGUUCUCUUUCUGUUUCUAUUGCAUUAAAUAAAUGUUUAUGCUUUGUGUCUUGAAGAA
Xiphophorus maculatus (southern platyfish) is the source of this 3302-nucleotide long non-coding RNA. RefSeq lists it as uncharacterized. The transcript is spliced from 2 exons. NCBI's taxonomy places the organism in Eukaryota, Metazoa, Chordata, Actinopteri, Cyprinodontiformes, Poeciliidae. The record is from RefSeq and is a predicted model, not a curated record.